This 253-nucleotide ribosomal RNA is filed under the name uncultured bacterium. RNAcentral's name for it is "partial 16S ribosomal RNA". It matches the Rfam family "Bacterial small subunit ribosomal RNA", at positions 524 to 776 of the family's 1533-position model. The record is from RNAcentral.
UACAGAGGUCUCAAGCGUUGUUCGGAUUCAUUGGGCGUAAAGGGUGCGUAGGCGGCGCGGUAAGUCGGGUGUGAAAUCUCGGAGCUUAACUCCGAAACUGCAUUCGAUACUGCCGUGCUUGAGGACUGGAGAGGAGACUGGAAUUUACGGUGUAGCGGUGAAAUGCGUAGAUAUCGUAAGGAAGACCAGUGGCGAAGGCGGGUCUCUGGACAGUUCCUGACGCUGAGGCGCGAAAGCUAGGGGAGCAAACAGG